CCAUUUUGAGGUGUGAAGCGUGGCAAUGAGGUCGGGAGCUGCUUACUAUCUCCUCAUCCUCUCAAUGUGGGUGGUUGCAGUGAUGGUCACCGUGAUCUCCUUCACCUCCGCUGAGAAAGAGAAAGAGUACGCACCGUCUACUACAUCACGAUACUGUGAGUCACCCAAUCCUUCGAGAAGACCCUGGUUACCGUGGGGCGGCGGCCAAUGGAGAUGUCCUGACCCGUGACCAUCAUCGUCGUAUUUGCAUGCCCGUUAUCUCGAGUUGCCUCACCGAGGAUAAAAUUGGAAUUAAUCACAGGAAAACGGACCAAAGUUUGAUCCCAAUCACGAGGUAAAAAUCAUGAAUACCAUGUGUAUAUGGAUUGUGGGUUCUAGUGGCAAAUGACUGAAUGACCUUUCUUAUGCGCCUUCCAUUUUUCUCUUUUCAAGCGUUUGCUGUCCUAUACUACCCCGCUAGUCUUAUCUAUGGCUAGUACAAUUUUAUCUCAUUUUGAAGAAACUUCUCCAGC
Setaria italica (foxtail millet) is the source of this 512-nucleotide long non-coding RNA. RefSeq lists it as uncharacterized. The transcript has 2 exons. The record is from RefSeq and is a predicted model, not a curated record. NCBI's taxonomy places the organism in Eukaryota, Viridiplantae, Streptophyta, Magnoliopsida, Poales, Poaceae.